GACGAACGCUGGCGGCGUGCUUAACACAUGCAAGUCGAACGGAAAGGCCCUGCUUUUGUGGGGUGCUCGAGCGGCGAACGGGUGAGUAACACGUGAGUAACCUGCCCUUGACUUUGGGAUAACUUCAGGAAACUGGGGCUAAUACCAGAUAGGAGCUCCUGCUGCAUGGUGGGGGUUGGAAAGUUUCGGCGGUUGGGGAUGGACUCGCGGCUUAUCAGCUUGUUGGUGGGGUAGUGGCUUACCAAGGCUUUGACGGGUAGCCGGCCUGAGAGGGUGACCGGCCACAUUGGGACUGAGAUACGGCCCAGACUCCUACGGGAGGCAGCAGUGGGGAAUAUUGCACAAUGGGCGGAAGCCUGAUGCAGCAACGCCGCGUGCGGGAUGACGGCCUUCGGGUUGUAAACCGCUUUCGCCUGUGACGAAGCGUGAGUGACGGUAAUGGGUAAAGAAGCACCGGCUAACUACGUG
Molecule: ribosomal RNA, 468 nt
Filed under: uncultured bacterium
Lineage: Bacteria
Description: partial 16S ribosomal RNA
Rfam family: Bacterial small subunit ribosomal RNA
Source: RNAcentral